UACGUAGGGGGCAAGCGUUGUCCGGAAUCAUUGGGCGUAAAGCGCGUGUAGGCGGCCCGAUAAGUCCGCUGUGAAAGUCCAGGGCUCAACCCUGGGAUGCCGGUGGAUACUGUCGGGCUCGAGUCCGGAAGAGGCGAGUGGAAUUCCUGGUGUAGCGGUGAAAUGCGCAGAUAUCAGGAGGAACACCAAUGGCGAAGGCAGCUCGCUGGGACGUGACUGACGCUCAGGCACGAAAGCGUGGGGAGCAAACAGG
Molecule: ribosomal RNA, 253 nt
Filed under: uncultured bacterium
Lineage: Bacteria
Description: partial 16S ribosomal RNA
Rfam family: Bacterial small subunit ribosomal RNA
Source: RNAcentral